UACGAAGGGGGCUAGCGUUGUUCGGAAUUACUGGGCGUAAAGCGCGCGUAGGCGGCUUUGUCAGUCAGGGGUGAAAUCCCGGGGCUCAACCCCGGAACUGCCUUUGAUACUGCAAGGCUUGAGUCCGUGAGAGGAUGGUGGAAUACCCAGUGUAGAGGUGAAAUUCGUAGAUAUUGGGUGGAACACCGGUGGCGAAGGCGACCAUCUGGCACGGUACUGACGCUGAGGUGCGAAAGCGUGGGGAGCAAACAGG
RNAcentral lists this ribosomal RNA (253 nucleotides) under uncultured bacterium. Its description in RNAcentral is "partial 16S ribosomal RNA". It matches the Rfam family "Bacterial small subunit ribosomal RNA", at positions 524 to 776 of the family's 1533-position model. The record is from RNAcentral.